RNAcentral lists this ribosomal RNA (425 nucleotides) under uncultured bacterium. RNAcentral's name for it is "bacterial SSU rRNA". It matches the Rfam family "Bacterial small subunit ribosomal RNA", at positions 376 to 793 of the family's 1533-position model. The record is from RNAcentral.
CGCAAGCCUGAUGCAGCCAUGCCGCGUGUAUGGAAGAAGGCCUUCGGGUUGUAAAGUACUUUCAGCAGUGAGGAAGGUGGGUAUGUUAAUAGCAUAUUCAUUUGACGUUAGCUGCAGAAGAAGCACCGGCUAACUCCGUGCCAGCAGCCGCGGUAAUACGGAGGGUGCGAGCGUUAAUCGGAAUUACUGGGCGUAAAGCGCAUGCAGGUGGUUUGUUAAGUCAGAUGUGAAAGCCCGGGGCUCAACCUCGGAAUUGCAUUUGAAACUGGCAAACUAGAGUACUGUAGAGGGGGUAGAAUUUCAGGUGUAGCGGUGAAAUGCGUAGAGAUCUGAAGGAAUACCGGUGGCGAAGGCGGCCCCCUGGACAGAUACUGACACUCAGAUGCGAAAGCGUGGGGAGCAAACAGGAUUAGAUACCCUGGUAG